ACCCUUUACUUGAACAGGAUCUGUUCUAUAGGCUCGUACCACUGUAUCCUUGACUUCUAAGGAGACAAGAAACCAAUUCUGGUUGAUGAGAUUAGAGCGUGAUUAACUGCCAUCCGCGGCAUCUCGAGUUGAGGUGCAGUAGAUGAUCGUUCUUAGACCCGAGUUCAGGCCUAAGAUGGUCUCAUGGAUGUCUGACAGACU
This is a non-coding RNA of Capsicum annuum, 201 nucleotides long. Lineage: Eukaryota; Viridiplantae; Streptophyta; Magnoliopsida; Solanales; Solanaceae. The record is from Rfam.